This 406-nucleotide ribosomal RNA is filed under the name uncultured bacterium. RNAcentral describes it as "partial 16S ribosomal RNA". It matches the Rfam family "Bacterial small subunit ribosomal RNA", at positions 360 to 773 of the family's 1533-position model. The record is from RNAcentral.
AAUUUUGGACAAUGGGGGCAACCCUGAUCCAGCCAUCCCGCGUGUGCGAUGAAGGCCUUCGGGUUGUAAAGCACUUUUGGCAGGGAAGAAGGUCUUCGGACUUGACGGUACCUAAGGAGGAAGCCCCGGCUAACUACGUGCCAUCAGCCGCGGUAAUACGCAGGGGGCAAGCGUUGGCCGGAAUUAUUGGGCGUAAAGGGUGCGUAGGCGGCCUUUUAAGUCAGAUGUGAAAGCCCACGGCUUAACCGUGGGACUGCAUUUGAAACUGGAGGGCUUGAGUAUCGGAGAGGGUAGUGGAAUUCCCAGUGUAGCGGUGGAAUGCGUAGAUAUUGGGAGGAACACCAGUGGCGAAGGCGACUACCUGGACGAAAACUGACGCUGAGGCACGAAAGCUAGGGGAGCAAAC